AUUGAACGCUGGCGGCAGGCUUAACACAUGCAAGUCGAGCGGGGGAAGGUAGCUUGCUACCGGACCUAGCGGCGGACGGGUGAGUAAUGCUUAGGAAUCUGCCUAUUAGUGGGGGACAACAUCUCGAAAGGGAUGCUAAUACCGCAUACGUCCUAUGGGAGAAAGCAGGGGAUCUUCGGACCUUGCGCUAAUCGAUGAGCCUAAGUCGGAUUAGCUAGUUGGUGGGGUAAGGGCCUACCAAGGCGACGAUCUGUAGCGGGUCUGAGAGGAUGAUCCGCCACACUGGGACUGAGACACGGCCCAGACUCCUACGGGAGGCAGCAGUGGGGAAUAUUGGACAAUGGGGGGAACCCUGAUCCAGCCAUGCCGCGUGUGUGAAGAAGGCCUUAUGGUUGUAAAGCACUUUAAGCGAGGAGGAGGCUACUUUAGUUAAUACCUAGAGAUAGUGGACGUUACUCGCAGAAUAAGCACCGGCUAACUCUGUGCCAGCCGCCGCGGUAA
RNAcentral lists this ribosomal RNA (501 nucleotides) under uncultured bacterium. RNAcentral describes it as "partial 16S ribosomal RNA". It matches the Rfam family "Bacterial small subunit ribosomal RNA", at positions 30 to 523 of the family's 1533-position model. The record is from RNAcentral.